GUUUUUGUAGCUCAGUGGUAGAGCGUCCGCUUUGCAUGCGGAAGCCCCGGGGUUCGAUCCCCCGCAACUCCA
Non-coding RNA from Trichuris muris, 72 nucleotides. NCBI's taxonomy places the organism in Eukaryota, Metazoa, Nematoda, Enoplea, Trichinellida, Trichuridae. The record is from Rfam.